GACGAACGCUGGCGGCGUGCUUAACACAUGCAAGUCGAACGGAAAGGCCCUGAUUUUGUGGGGUGCUCGAGUGGCGAACGGGUGAGUAAAACGUGAGUAACCUGCCCUUGACUUUGGGAUAACUUCAGGAAAAUGGGGAUAAUACAGGAUAGGAGCUCCUGCUGCAUGGUGGGGGUUGGAAAGUUUCGGCGGUUGGGGAUGGACUCGCGGCUUAUCAGCUGGUUGGUGGGGUAGUGGCUUACCAAGGCUUUGAAGGGUAGCCGGCCUGAGAGGGUGACCGGCCACAUUGGGACUGAGAUACGGCCCAGACUCCUACGGGAGGCAGCAGGGGGGAAUAUUGCACAAUGGGCGGAAGCCAGAGGCAGCAACGCCGCGUGCGGGAUGACGGCUUUCGGGUUGUAAACCGCUUUCGCCUGUGACGAAGCGUGAGUGACGGUAAUUGGUAAAGAAGCACCGGCUAACUACGUG
This 468-nucleotide ribosomal RNA is filed under the name uncultured bacterium. RNAcentral describes it as "partial 16S ribosomal RNA". It matches the Rfam family "Bacterial small subunit ribosomal RNA", at positions 28 to 507 of the family's 1533-position model. The record is from RNAcentral.